CCUACGGGAGGCAGCAGUGGGGAAUAUUGCACAAUGGGGGAAACCCUGAUGCAGCGACGCCGCGUGAGUGAAGAAGUAAUUCGUUACGUAAAGCUCUAUCAGCAGGGAAGAAACACUGACCUUACGGUCAGCAGACGGUACCUGAGUAAGCAGCCCCGGCUAAAUACGUGCCAGCAGCCGCGGUAAUACGUAGGGGGCAAGCGUUAUCCGGAUUUACUGGGUGUAAAGGGAGCGUAGACGGUGCGCCAAGUCUGGAGUGAAAUGCCGCAGCUUAACUGCGGAACUGCUUUGGAAACUGGCGAACUAGAGUGCGGGAGGGGUAAGCGGAAUUCCUAGUGUAGCGGUGAAAUGCGUAGAUAUUAGGAGGAACACCGGUGGCGAAGGCGGCUUACUGGACCGUAACUGACGUUGAGGCUCGAAAGCGUGGGGAGCAAACAGGAUUAGAUACCCCAGUAGUC
RNAcentral lists this ribosomal RNA (458 nucleotides) under uncultured bacterium. RNAcentral describes it as "partial 16S ribosomal RNA". It matches the Rfam family "Bacterial small subunit ribosomal RNA", at positions 338 to 795 of the family's 1533-position model. The record is from RNAcentral.